GAUGAGCGCUGGCGGCGUGCCUAACACAUGCAAGUCGAGCGAUCUUCUUCGGAAGAGAGCGGCGGACGGGUGAGUAACGCGUGGGUAACCUGCCCUGUACACACGGAUAACAUACCGAAAGGUAUGCUAAUACGAGAUGAUAUGCUUUUAUCGCAUGGUAGAAGUAUCAAAGCUCCGGCGGUACAGGAUGGACCCGCGUCUGAUUAGCUAGUUGGUAAGGUAACGGCUUACCAAGGCGACGAUCAGUAGCCGACCUGAGAGGGUGAUCGGCCACAUUGGAACUGAGACACGGUCCAAACUCCUACGGGAGGCAGCAGUGGGGAAUAUUGCACAAUGGGCGAAAGCCUGAUGCAGCAACGCCGCGUGAGCGAUGAAGGCCUUCGGGUCGUAAAGCUCUGUCCUCAAGGAAGAUAAUGACGGUACUUGAGGAGGAAGCCCCGGCUAACUACGUGCCAGCAGCCGCGGUAA
RNAcentral lists this ribosomal RNA (468 nucleotides) under uncultured bacterium. RNAcentral's name for it is "partial 16S ribosomal RNA". It matches the Rfam family "Bacterial small subunit ribosomal RNA", at positions 28 to 523 of the family's 1533-position model. The record is from RNAcentral.